UUUGGAGUAAAAAAACGUAACAAGGUUUCCGUAGGUGAACCUGCGGAAGGAUCAUUACAGUAUUCUUUUUGCCAGCGCUUAAUUGCGCGGCGAAAAAACCUUACACACAGUGUUUUUUGUUAUUACAAGAACUCUUGCUUUGGUCUGGACUAGAAAUAGUUUGGGCCAGAGGUUUACUAAACUAAACUUCAAUAUUUAUAUUGAAUUGUUAUUUAUUUUAAUUGUCAAUUUGUUGAUUAAAUUCAAAAAAUCUUCAAAACUUUCAACAACGGAUCUCUUGGUUCUCGCAUCGAUGAAGAACGCAGCGAAAUGCGAUAAGUAAUAUGAAUUGCAGAUUUUCGUGAAUCAUCGAAUCUUUGAACGCACAUUGCGCCCUUUGGUAUUCCAAAGGGCAUGCCUGUUUGAGCGUCAUUUCUCUCUCAAACCUUCGGGUUUGGUAUUGAGUGAUACUCUUAGUCGAACUAGGCGUUUGCUUGAAAUGUAUUGGCAUGAGUGGUACUGGAUAGUGCUAUAUGACUUUCAAUGUAUUAGGUUUAUCCAACUCGUUGAAUAGUUUAAUGGUAUAUUUCUCGGUAUUCUAGGCUCGGCCUUACAAUAUAACAAACAAGUUUGACCUCAAAUCAGGUAGGACUACCCGCUGAACUUAAGCAUAUCAAAAGGCCGGAGGGA
Molecule: ribosomal RNA, 669 nt
Filed under: Debaryomyces hansenii
Lineage: Eukaryota; Fungi; Ascomycota; Pichiomycetes; Serinales; Debaryomycetaceae
Description: eukaryotic LSU rRNA
Rfam family: 5.8S ribosomal RNA (bases 258-411)
Source: RNAcentral